AUUGAACGCUGGCGGCAGGCCUAACACAUGCAAGUCGAACGAGUGGCGGACGGGUGAGUAAUGUCUGGGAAACUGCCCGAUGGAGGGGGAUAACUACUGGCAACGGUAGCUAAUACCGCAUACCAUCGGAUGUGCCCAGAUGGGAUUAGCUAGUAGGUGGGGUAACGGGUCACCUGGGCGACGAUCCCUAGCUGGGCUGAGAGGAUGACCAGCCACACUGGAACUGAAACACGGUCCAUACUCAUACGGGAGGCAGCAGUGGGGAAGAUUGGACAAUGGGCUCAAGCCUGAUGCAGCCAUGCCGGGUGUAUGAAGAGGGCCUUCGGGUUGGAAAGUACUUUCAGCUGGGAGGCGUUACCAGCAGAAGAAGCACCGGCUAACUCCGUGCCAGCAGCCGCGGUAAUAC
This 406-nucleotide ribosomal RNA is filed under the name uncultured bacterium. Its description in RNAcentral is "partial 16S ribosomal RNA". It matches the Rfam family "Bacterial small subunit ribosomal RNA", at positions 30 to 526 of the family's 1533-position model. The record is from RNAcentral.